RNAcentral lists this ribosomal RNA (253 nucleotides) under uncultured bacterium. RNAcentral's name for it is "partial 16S ribosomal RNA". It matches the Rfam family "Bacterial small subunit ribosomal RNA", at positions 524 to 776 of the family's 1533-position model. The record is from RNAcentral.
UACAGAGGUCUCAAACGUUGUUCGGAUUCAUUGGGCGUAAAGGGUGCGUAGGCGGCGCGGUAAGGCGGGUGUGAAAUCUCGGGGCUUAACUCCGAAACUGCAUUCGAUACUGCCGUGCUUGAGGACUGGAGAGGAGUCUGGAAUUUACGGUGUAGCGGUGAAAUGCGUAGAUAUCGUAAGGAAGACCAGUGGCGAAGGCGGGUCUCUGGACAGUUCCUGACGCUGAGGCACGAAGGUCAGGGGAGCAAACGGG